ACAGGGCAGAAAAGGAUGUGCGUUACUAGCUUGGGACUGCCACCUGCUGCUGGCGGCUGGGAAGCACAAUUCUAGGGUCCCUGCUGGACAAGAGGAAUCAGUCCUGGGAGGUGGUGACACAGCAAAUGGAGCCCAUGCUGCUGUAUCCCACGGGUUAUGGCAUUUCAUGUUUCUAUUCUCAUUUGAUUCUAUUAGUUUUUCAAUUCUACCCCCAAUUUCUUCAACAACCGUUUUUCCAAAGUAUACUAUUCAGUGAUCCUGUGUUUGUUCUGUGGAUUCUCUUGCUGAUUUCUAGUUUAAUCCCAUUAUAUCUGAUAAAAUACAAGAGACGUUUCUUAGAUUAUUACAUUUGCACCUAUGGGGGAAUAUGCAGGUGUGUAUGUGUGUCCAUGGAGACCACAGGGAGACAUCAUGUGCCCUUGUUGUGAGCUGUCUAACAUGGGUGCUGGAAAACAAACGCUGGUCCUCUCCAAGAGCAGUGUAUGCUCUUAACUACCGAGUCAUCUUUCCAGGCCCAUGGCAGCAAGGAACUUCUAAAUGUUUUGUUGUUAAAUGCUUGUUUUAUGACCUAGUCUAUUGUGUGGGAAAAUGCCCAUGAUCUGAUUAAAACAGAGAGUUAUGUAA
This 624-nucleotide long non-coding RNA is filed under the name Rattus norvegicus (Norway rat). RNAcentral describes it as "long non-coding RNA NONRATT025375". The record is from RNAcentral. Lineage: Eukaryota; Metazoa; Chordata; Mammalia; Rodentia; Muridae.